AGAACGUGACGGGAGGGGCCGGAAGGAGGCGGAGAAGGAGGGGCGGGCACACUCGGAAGUGACCAAUGAUAUCAGCAGUAGCCGCGAUCGUGACCCGUGCGAAAGCAGGGGAGGCAGAGCGCAGGGCCUGAAGGGAGGGGCGCGGGCGCCGGGAGCCGAGUGAGAGAAGACGGAAGUGGAGCGAGGACAAAAUGGCCUCGAAGGUUGUUGCGCCCCUCCCCCACCCAAGCCCGCAUUCUCUCUUCCUGCCGUUACCCCAGGAUUGAAGAUGGUCCCUUCGGCGCUCCCGCGUUGCGCGUACUCACAUUUCGUCGCUGGCGUGGCUUUGGGCUAGGGAUUGCCCAGAGGGGCUGGACUGCAGGUUCCAGCCCUAGGACACAGCCAGGAGAUACCCAGCAAGGAAGUCCUUAGAGACAUCCAGUUUGAGAAAAAAUUGACAAUUAUUCUGGUCCUGGUCAACAGAUAGAUGGAUUUGGACCCUUGCUUUCCCCCUGGUCUAAAGGCACAAUGUGAUGCCUCUUUGGAGAUGAUCAGCUUACAUCCUUUUGCUUGUUUGGUGUCAUACAAGGAAAGUGCUCAUCUGAAUCUUACCAUGCAAACCUCACUGCUAUUUAAAUGACUUCUCAUCUGGUUGGAGGGGCUUGUGUGCUGGUGACUGAGCUCAGAUGACUUAGAAGAGUCCUAAUUCCCAUACUCCUAGGAAAGCGUGGGAAUCAGGUUCACUCUAAUUCAAACAGUUUGGAAGGCUCUGCUCUGGCUGGAGAUCGUGCUGGGUGUGGCUUCUGCUUUGGUCAGGGUAGCGUGGUGGACUUUCUUUGGUUCAGAACGUCUCACCUCUGGCCCCACUGGGCUGUAUGCAGUGGUGGUCAGCCCUGGCUGGGGUGCUUCAGUUGACAGUGUCCGCUGGCUGCGUGAGGCACUAUUUGCUGUGGAGCGAGUGGAGGAAGAACCAGAGCGUGAGCUCCGGGACCCUGAGGAAGAGAAGCUAGGCUUCACAAGGCGGGCUUUCGGGGCUUCAGCAUCUUCUCUGAAGAGAAAACAUAGCAAAGAGCAAAUUUAAUACUGGCGGGACUACGAUAGUUUCCAUUAUGGCUGCUCCCUUCCAAUGUUUCCCAAUAAAUUCCUCAGGCUGUAAAUUUCAAGUAAUACUGCUGGAAGGUGGCCAUUUACAGAAAUAGGCACUUCCCCAUUUCUUGAGACUUAAUGCUUGGCUUAGGCAAAUGUGCGUUUUGUUAGCUCAGAGUCAACCCUAUUAUACUGGGAGGAUAUGGGUUCACCAUUGAGAUGGUCUAGACAGCACUGCCCUGGAUUUGGAGUUUGUCUGCCUAAACCCUUUCAUGGCCCAUAGGCUAUCCCAUUCUUUAUUGUAUGCCCUUUGUUAGUGAAAGUGAAUGUGAAGCAACAAAGAGUUGAUCUUCAAAUUUCUGUUGAAUAUAGAUGAUUUCACAAUAAAAUCAAGGUUUACCAGACCUUCUAUUCCUGGGCUGCAACUCCCUACCUAUCACAAUAAUCCUCUAACAAAUUCAAGUUUAAGAGGAAACUGGGGACAUUGACUCAUAUGUUUGCUGAUCAUUAUGAACCUGGCCCAAGAAAGGAAGCCUCAAAGAAGUAGGGUUUUGGAGGGAGGUUUACCGGAUUUCAUUAGGUCUGUCUUCUUCCUCAUAUCUCUCUUUGUCUUUCCUUCGGAUUAGCAGCCACACUAAGAGGAAAAUCAGCAGGGCCCCAGCCACCAUGCCUGUCACUGCUCCUGCAACCAUGCCGAUGCUUUGUACAUCUGUUUUCUCAGAAGCAAAAGCAAAGGAAAACCAAACAUAAGUUGGGAAAUAAUAUGAGCUCAAAAAACCAGCCCAGCAGAGGAAGGUUGUGGCAGUGGAGAAGAAAGAAGUGUGUGAAGUUAAGAUAAAUUUGGGGAUUAGAGCUAAUGGGAUUGCUUGGGUAUGGGAGUGAGGGGAAAAUAAAAAUUAAAAAUGGGUCCUAGGAAUUAUGUUAAAUUGUUUUAACUAUGAUAGUAUUGUGGUUUUAUAUAUAUAUAUAUAUAUAUAUAUUUUAAAGACAGCUAUUAAAGUAUGUACAGAUAAAAAAAACAAAACAAAAAACCCAAGCCCAGGACAGGGUAUUUCCAGGUCUUUAUAUCUAUCUUCCUGUGUGGUACCCCAUUACCCUCUUUUAGUACAUGACUAUCCACUUGAUAUUUUUGCAGUUGGGCUUACUGAAUCACAGAUUUCACCAGCACUUGGCCCAGAUUUUAGUGAAUAAGGCUGGGUUGGUUCCAAUGAUAGAACUAGGCUGGGAGAGUUACUAUAUGGCAUUCAAAGAUUUCUCAACCUUUAUAGGCUAAACUUUGGGCAGUCCUCUGGCUCUGCCAACUUCUCUGCUUCCUCUAACUUCCCCUUUCUCCCACCAGUAAAAUAAAAAGAAAUAUAAACUAUAAUGUUAGGCUCUAUGUAGAUCAGCCACUUGAUUCUAGAAAUUUAGAAGUGAAGAUAAAUGUAAUUUGCACAUUAGCAACUCACACACCUUUUCAUAUUAAGUGGAUACCCUGAGCUAGGGACAGUUCCAGGCAUUGGUGAAGACAAAGUUCUUGCUUUCAUUGGGUUUUCAUUCCAAAAGGGGGAAAACAGAUAAUAAACAACUAAAUAAAGAUAAUUUCAGAUAGUGGAUAAAUUCUGUGAAGGCAAAAGUGGAUGAGUGAUACUUUUGAGGGAAAAGGAAAGAUACUCCUUAAGAUUGGGUGAUCAGGACUCCGAGGAGGUAACAUUUGAACUGAAAUACAAGUAAUAUAAAAUACUAUCUUGUGAUGGUCUAGGGACAGAACAUUACAAGUAGAAGGAAUAGCAAGUGUGAUGAAUGUGAGUGGGUCUGGAGCACAGUGAGCAAGGGGAGUUGGACUGUAGGCCCUAUAGGCCAUGGCGAGGAUUCUCUUGGAAGAGGAGUGGAGAGUAACAUGAUACAAAUUACAUUUGAGAAGGCACACCAGUGAGGAGGCUAGAGAUGGUGGUGACUUAGGCAAGGGUGGAUGUAAUGGAGAUAGAAAAAGGUAGAUGGACAUGAUCUAUAUUCUGGAAGUAGAAUCAACACAAUUUGCCAUUUAUUGUUGUCCUCCUAGCUUUAGAAGAACAAAAUGACCUCUUAAUAUAACAAAUCACUUAUUAAAGAAAUUGGAUUUUGGAUCUCAUUUAGGAUUUUAUCCUAGGUCCCAAAGGGCUGAAGUUUAUUUUACCUGAACACUUACAGUGGGUAAUACUGUUUUCCCUACUGUCCUUCCUCUACCACACAGUCAUAAUCUAGAUGGAAUGUCUGUUGAUAAAACCUUUGGUUGCUUUCUGUUUUGCAUAACUGAAAAUGAUGUAUAAGUGAACAUCUGUAUGUAUUUGCACACUUGUGUGAAUGUCUCCAAAGGAUAAAUUCACUGAAAUAUUGCUGGAUAAAAAGAAAUGAAUUUUAGCAUCUAAAGUAAAAUGUAUCAUGAACUGUUACGUAUUCAUAUAGUAAAGUACUACACAGCAAUGAAAAUGAACAAAUUAUGACUACCAGCAACAACAAUGAUGAAUCUCAAAAACAAAGUGUAGUAAAAGAAGCUAGACACAAACAGAAUGUGAUGCUACUUAUUUAGGUUCUCAAACAGGAAAUCUUUAAAGUUAGAUCUCUAGAUAAUGGAGGAGUGGAGGGAAGGUAGUAAGAGGGCAUUGGGUAUUCUUAAUCUUGAUGCCGAUUACACAGGUGUAUUCCCUUUUGAAAUGUAUCAAGUUGUACACCUAAGAUUCAUGCACAUUUCUUUAUGUAUACAUCAAUAAAUUUACCCCCAUAAAGAAAUAUACAUUGAAAUCUUUGAUAGAUUAAGCCAGGUUGUGCUACCAAUUUAAACUGUAGCUGAAAAUGUAAAGGCCCCUGUUACCCCAUAACUUCUCUAGCAAUGGGCAUUACCUUAAGUCUUUGUUAAUCUGAUAGAUUAAAAUAAAACAGUGUUUUAUUUGCCUUCUUGUUUACACUUAUUGACCAUUUGUAUUCUGUUUUCUGUUAACUGCCUGUUAAAUUUGUAAGAAAAAUUAUCAGAAGCUUGAAAAUAGGCAAAAGGAGUUGCUGGGUGUUCCUUCAGUACAGUGCUAGGCUUUGCAUUUUUAUUGCCUGGGCAGUUUACAACUCUGUAGGGGCAACACGUCCAGUAAUUGUUGUCCAGUUGAACAGGUAAACCCAGAGAUUGCAGUCUGUGACUUCGUAGUUUGGUAUCUAACCUAGCAACCUUAUCUUAACAUUUCUUUGUUAAAUUGUCUCUAGAUACCUAAUUUCUCAAAUGCUUUUUGGACCAGUUUUCACAUCUUCCUAG
Long non-coding RNA from Choloepus didactylus (southern two-toed sloth), 4324 nucleotides. RefSeq lists it as uncharacterized. The transcript has 3 exons. The record is from RefSeq and is a predicted model, not a curated record. NCBI's taxonomy places the organism in Eukaryota, Metazoa, Chordata, Mammalia, Pilosa, Megalonychidae.